This 420-nucleotide ribosomal RNA is filed under the name Triticum aestivum (bread wheat). Its description in RNAcentral is "partial small subunit ribosomal RNA". The record is from RNAcentral. Lineage: Eukaryota; Viridiplantae; Streptophyta; Magnoliopsida; Poales; Poaceae.
AUGUUACUCAAUGAUAGAAUCAAUACCUGUGAACUGCUUACUAGACAAAAAGUUCACCUGGAGAGUACGAUAUGUGUCCUAUGCAAUGAUCAUAAUAUGGAAGAUAGAAUGCAUCUACUCUUCAGCUGCCCUUUUAGCCAAGGCUUCUGGUGGAGCAUAAACAUGGAAUGGAACAUUGACCUAAAUAUUAAUAUGAUGAUCAUGGAGGCUAGACAAAGAUACAAGUGGGACUUCUUUAUGGAAAUUAUUACUAUUGGAUGCUGGUCUAUCUGGAACCAAAGAAAUGACAAGGUGUUUGAAGACAUUCAGUUCUCAAUCCAAGCAUGCACAGAUAAUUUCAAAAAAUACUUCAGAGACACUAUAAUCAGGGCUAAACCCAGCAUCAAGGAAGGCAUGCUCUCCUGGCUAGAUUCUGUGUAA